Molecule: microRNA, 23 nt
Filed under: Gallus gallus (chicken)
Lineage: Eukaryota; Metazoa; Chordata; Aves; Galliformes; Phasianidae
Description: gga-miR-1739
Source: miRBase by way of RNAcentral
CACAGGACAGGUAGCCAGGCUGG